This 432-nucleotide ribosomal RNA is filed under the name uncultured bacterium. Its description in RNAcentral is "partial 16S ribosomal RNA". It matches the Rfam family "Bacterial small subunit ribosomal RNA", at positions 29 to 506 of the family's 1533-position model. The record is from RNAcentral.
AACGAACGCUGGCGGCAUGCCUAACACAUGCAAGUCGAACGAGACCUUCGGGUGUGGUGGCGCACGGGUGCGUAACGCGUGGGAACCUGCCCUUAGGUUCGGAAUAACUCCCCGAAAUGGGGGCUAAUACCGGAUAAUGUCUGCUAACCAAAGAUUUAUCGACCUUGGAUGGGCCCGCGUUGGAUUAGCUAGUUGGUAGGGUAAAAGCCUACCAAGGCGACGAUCGAUAGCUGGUCUGAGAGGAUGAUCAGCCACACUGGGACUGAGACACGGCCCAGAAUACUACGGGAGGCAGCAGUGGGGAAUAUUGGACAACGGGCGAAAGCCUGAACCAGCAAUGCCGCGUGAGUGAUGAAGGCCUUAGGGUUGUAAAGCUCUUUUACCCGGGAUGAUAAUGACAGUACCGGGAGAAUAAGCUCCGGCUAACUCCGU